GCGGGAAUAGCUCAAUUGGUAGAGUGGCAGCCUUCCAAGCUGUAGGUUGCGGGUUCGAGUCCCGUUUCCCGCU
This 73-nucleotide transfer RNA is filed under the name Candidatus Babela massiliensis. RNAcentral describes it as "delta proteobacterium BABL1 tRNA". It matches the Rfam family "tRNA". From Rfam's summary of the family: Transfer RNA (tRNA) molecules are approximately 80 nucleotides in length. Their secondary structure includes four short double-helical elements and three loops (D, anti-codon, and T loops). Further hydrogen bonds mediate the characteristic L-shaped molecular structure. tRNAs have two regions of fundamental functional importance: the anti-codon, which is responsible for specific mRNA codon recognition, and the 3' end, to which the tRNAs corresponding amino acid is attached (by aminoacyl-tRNA synthetases). tRNAs cope with the degeneracy of the genetic code in two manners: having more than one tRNA (with a specific anti-codon) for a particular amino acid; and 'wobble' base-pairing, i.e. permitting non-standard base-pairing at the 3rd anti-codon position. The record is from Rfam by way of RNAcentral. Lineage: Bacteria; Candidatus Babeliae; Candidatus Babeliales; Candidatus Babeliaceae.